CCUACGGGAGGCAGCAGUGAGGAAUAUUGGUCAAUGGACGAGAGUCUGAACCAGCCAAGUAGCGUGAAGGAUGACGGCCCUCUGGGUUGUAAACUUCUUUUAUAUGGGAAUAAAAUGUUCCACGUGUGGGAUUUUGUAUGUACCAUAUGAAUAAGGAUCGGCUAACUCCGUGCCAGCAGCCGCGGUAAUACGGAGGAUCCGAGCGUUAUCCGGAUUUAUUGGGUUUAAAGGGAGCGUAGGUGGAGUGUUAAGUCAGGCGUGAAAGCUCGGGGCUCAACCGCAAGACUGCAGUUGAAACUGGGAGUCUUGAGUACAGGAGAGGUAGGCGGAAUUCGUGGUGUAGCGGUGAAAUGCUUAGAUAUCACGAAGAACUCCGAUUGCGAAGGCAGCUCGCUGGACUGCAACUGACACUGAGGCUCGAAAGUGUGGGUAUCAAACAGGAUUAGAUACCCGAGUAGUC
Molecule: ribosomal RNA, 460 nt
Filed under: uncultured bacterium
Lineage: Bacteria
Description: partial 16S ribosomal RNA
Rfam family: Bacterial small subunit ribosomal RNA
Source: RNAcentral